This is a long non-coding RNA of Poeciliopsis prolifica (blackstripe livebearer), 577 nucleotides long. RefSeq lists it as uncharacterized. The transcript is spliced from 3 exons. Lineage: Eukaryota; Metazoa; Chordata; Actinopteri; Cyprinodontiformes; Poeciliidae. The record is from RefSeq and is a predicted model, not a curated record.
AAAAGGACAGGGAGUGGUGGGAUGAGAGAGGAGAAGAUGAAAGCAGUUGCUACUAAAAACACUGAGCCCAGGAAAGCAGAAGAGCCUGGAAAUGUGACUGAUGAUGGAAAGAAGGAGAGAAGAGAGCAGAAAUGGAGUGGCUGAGCUCAGGAGAAAGACCAAGAGGAAAGAGCUUGAGGAUGACUCCAAGAAGAAGAAGAGCUCUUAUGAAGAAGAAUAGAAAUAAACAGACUUGAAGAUGUGAGGCAGACUUCAAGUCUUCUUAAAGAAACCGAGUCGCCCAUUUCUGUAAUGUUCCCCGUGUAAAAAUGGCUGACCUGUCGAAGGAGUGGAACUGCAUGGGCAGCAUGGGAUGCGUCUUCAGAGCGGGGUCCGGGUGGUAGGGCGUCGGCCCGGACUCCUGACCCAACUCUGUGCCAUCAAUGGGAGCCGCCACCAAGCUCUUCAGGAUCUCCUGCGUUUCAGGGAGAAAAACAAAUCUGAAAUGGAUGAAGGUGGUGCUAGGCUCGAGUUCGGAGUGGAUCUGGGAUCAUGGGGAGAAUCCAGAAGGCUCUCUUGCGACCUCCGAACGUCAGAC